This 717-nucleotide long non-coding RNA is filed under the name Panax ginseng (ginseng). Its description in RNAcentral is "long non-coding RNA (PGIN_LNC014547)". The record is from RNAcentral. Lineage: Eukaryota; Viridiplantae; Streptophyta; Magnoliopsida; Apiales; Araliaceae.
UACAUAGUUUUUUGUAUAUAGUGUUGAAAUUAAUUACUAAAACUAAACAUGUUUAUAAAUAUAACAGAAAAUUAAUUACUGAAACUAAACAUGUUUAUAGAUAUAACCCAUGUUGAAACAAAAGAAGAAGAAAGAACAUAACGGAAGCGUACCAGAUUCCAUAAUAUUGUUUGAUCAAACGGGUUGAGAUCUUCCAAUUGAUGCGUAUUUUAGAAGUAAAUUUCUCUGUUGAUGGGGAUACAGAGAAAACAAUGAAGAGAAAAAAACAUACGCUCAAUUGGGGACCAUGAUCCAUUUAUAAAGAAAACUGCCUUGUGAAGAAACUGUUAAAAGGCAGUUAUUAUCUUUAAGUAUUUUUAAAUUGACCCCUCAUCAAUUUAAAAAUACAAGUCUGAUCUCUACACAUUAAUUCCAUGACAAACAUACCCUUAAGCCUAAUUAAAACUUAAUUAGAUCACUUAAAUUUAGGCCUAUACAUGAUAACACACAUUAAUAAUAUACAUGGGUGGUCCCAAUUAAGAUUAAUAAAAAUUAAUCCAACAAUCUCCCACUGGACCACAUAUGUAUUCUAAGAAAUGUGUUUAACUUUAGUGAGCUCCUGAAAUUUGGUUUCAUGUUCUAAAGGGUAUCCAAACAAUCUCGUCCAUUAGCUACAUCAAUAUAGGAUCAAAGUGGUCUUCAUUAUAAUAACCGUAAUUGGACCUAUCAAUGGUCUCG